RNAcentral lists this long non-coding RNA (979 nucleotides) under Mus caroli (Ryukyu mouse). RNAcentral's name for it is "predicted gene, 27011 (MGP_CAROLIEiJ_G0004161.1)". Lineage: Eukaryota; Metazoa; Chordata; Mammalia; Rodentia; Muridae. The record is from RNAcentral.
GUGGGCUGCGGAAUUCUCGUGGUGUUUGUCGGGGAGCUGCGAUAAUGGCGUCCGUCCUCGCGAGAGAAGCAGCCGCUCUGCGCAGGCGCCGAGAGCGCCUCCCCACGGCCUGCGCCCCGCCCUCAGCGCAGGCUCCCUGGGCUCCGGGCUCGAGGGCGGGGCCGGUCAGGAAGGGGGCGGGGCCUGCUCUGGGCGCCUCUGGCGCGCGCUUUCGCCGACGGACUCUGACGAGCAUGCGCAGUUGUCCUCCCCUGCUCCGAGAGUUGACUCGCUGGGCCCUUACUUCCCCAUCUCACGUCCGUGUUACUUGCUAAAGCAGUAAAUCCUCCAGUGUUCAAUCUGAGGAAUGUACGUCCUCUUUGAUGGGUGUGAACAGACACUAACGCUGCCCUGACUACAAAUGACUACAAAUCCCAGUGUACGCUGUGUGUGGCACGAUGCGUCCUGGGACUGGUAGUCUCUGCGGCCGUGAUUUGCCUGCUGGGAUUUGUAGUCCAUCCGGAUUCUGGCAGCCCCAUGCCUUCCCUGCCCUGAGGGCUGCUGGGACUUGUAGUGUCAGCGGCUCAAAUGGGCUGUACGCUCCCAAACCCGUCCUACCUACUCUACCUGGCAUCGUCUCAGACGUUCCGGGCUCGUUCAGUGGCAUGGUCUGGAAAGUUGCCUGACUUCCUUAUGGGCAAGCUGGUCGCGGGGACACUGUCACUGUGAUAGAGAUUAUAUGUGACAUGCUUACGUAUCAUGCAAUAGGAGCUAUGCAGCAUCGAUGUGCAUUUGUUGCCAGAAAUGCCACUAAUGGCUCUCUGCACCUGGUCUGUCGUCAGCGUUCCUUUCCAGGCUGGCCCCUUCUGCAUGUUCGCAGUAAGCAAUCCUACAAACCGGGAUACAGGAGUUAUUUUCACUUAGAAAACCAAACAAAACAAAAACCUGUUUCCUGCCCGUUCCCCUGUGCCGAUAAUAAAGCCAUGACUCAGUGCAGCUA